Molecule: transfer RNA, 64 nt
Filed under: Calanus sinicus
Lineage: Eukaryota; Metazoa; Arthropoda; Copepoda; Calanoida; Calanidae
Description: tRNA-Glu
Source: RNAcentral
AUCUUAGUAAUAUAAUAGAUUAUAGUAUGUUUUCAACAUACCGAUAGGCACGGCCUCUAAGAUA